Molecule: ribosomal RNA, 729 nt
Filed under: uncultured bacterium
Lineage: Bacteria
Description: bacterial SSU rRNA
Rfam family: Bacterial small subunit ribosomal RNA
Source: RNAcentral
AGAGUUUGAUCCUGGCUCAGAUUGAACGCUGGCGGUAGGCUUAACACAUGCAAGUCGUGCGAGAAAGUAUCUUCGGAUAUGAGUAGAGCGGCGGACGGGUGAGUAACGCGUAGGAAUCUACCUAGUAGAAGGGGAUAGCCCGGGGAAACCCGGAUUAAUACCGUAUACCUCCUUCGGGAGAAAGAAGGCCUCUCUUUGAAGCUUUCGCUAUUAGAUGAGCCUGCGUAAGAUUAGCUUGUUGGUGAGGUAAAGGCUCACCAAGGCGACGAUCUUUAGCUGGUCUGAGAGGACGAUCAGCCACAUUGGGACUGAGACACGGCCCAGACUCCUACGGGAGGCAGCAGUGGGGAAUAUUGGACAAUGGGCGCAAGCCUGAUCCAGCCAUACCGCGUGUGUGAAGAAGGCCUUCGGGUUGUAGAGCACUUUAAGCAGGGAGAAAAAGUUAUAAGUUAAUACCUUAUAACCGUGAUGUUACCCGCAGAAUAAGCACCGGCUAAUUCCGUGCCAGCAGCCGCGGUAAUACGGAAGGUGCAAGCGUUAAUCGGAAUUACUGGGCGUAAAGCGCGCGUAGGUGGUUUGUUAAGUUGGAUGUGAAAGCCCUGGGCUCAACCUAGGAACUGCAUCCAAAACUAACUCACUAGAGUACGAUAGAGGGAGGUAGAAUUCAUAGUGUAGCGGUGGAAUGCGUAGAUAUUAUGAAGAAUACCAGUGGCGAAGGCGGCCUCCUGG